GGGAAACCGAGUCUUAAUAGGGCGUUUAGUUGCAGGUAAUAGACCCGAAACCGGACGAUCUAUCCAUGGCCAGGUUGAAGGUGCCGUAACAGGCACUGGAGGACCGAACCCACUUAUGUUGAAAAAUGAGGGGAUGAGCUGUGGAUCGGAGUGAAAGGCUAAUCAAGUCCGGAGAUAGCUGGUUCUCCUCGAAAACUAUUUAGGUAGUGCCUCGUGAAUAACUGCUGGGGGUAAAGCACUGUGUCGGCUAGGGGGUCAUCCCGACUUACCAAACCGAUGCAAACUCCGAAUACCUACAAGUGCCGAGCAUGGGAGACACACGGCGGGUGCUAACGU
This 336-nucleotide ribosomal RNA is filed under the name uncultured Phaeocystis. Its description in RNAcentral is "partial Bacterial large subunit ribosomal RNA". It matches the Rfam family "Bacterial large subunit ribosomal RNA", at positions 671 to 1004 of the family's 2925-position model. The record is from RNAcentral. Lineage: Eukaryota; Haptophyta; Phaeocystales; Phaeocystaceae.